AUUGAACGCUGGCGGCAUGCUUUACACAUGCAAGUCGAACGGUAACAGGCCGCAAGGUGCUGACGAGUGGCGAACGGGUGAGUAAUGCAUCGGAACGUGCCCAGUCGUGGGGGAUAACUACUCGAAAGAGUAGCUAAUACCGCAUACGAUCUAUGGAUGAAAGCGGGGGACCGUAAGGCCUCGCGCGAUUGGAGCGGCCGAUGUCAGAUUAGGUAGUUGGUGGGGUAAAGGCUCACCAAGCCAACGAUCUGUAGCUGGUCUGAGAGGAUGACCAGCCACACUGGGACUGAGACACGGCCCAGACUCCUACGGGAGGCAGCAGUGGGGAAUUUUGGACAAUGGGCGCAAGCCUGAUCCAGCAAUGCCGCGUGCAGGAAGAAGGCCUUCGGGUUGUAAAAUGCUUUUGUACGGAACGAAACGGCUCUGGUUAAUACCCGGGGCUAAUGACGGUACCGUAAGAAUAAGCACCGGCUAACUACGUG
RNAcentral lists this ribosomal RNA (482 nucleotides) under uncultured bacterium. Its description in RNAcentral is "partial 16S ribosomal RNA". It matches the Rfam family "Bacterial small subunit ribosomal RNA", at positions 30 to 507 of the family's 1533-position model. The record is from RNAcentral.